Molecule: ribosomal RNA, 480 nt
Filed under: uncultured bacterium
Lineage: Bacteria
Description: partial 16S ribosomal RNA
Rfam family: Bacterial small subunit ribosomal RNA
Source: RNAcentral
GACGAACGCUGGCGGCGUGCUUAACACGUGCAAGUCGAGCGGUAAGGCUCCUUCGGGAGUACACGAGCGGCGAACGGGUGAGUAACACGUGAGCAAUCUGCCCUUCUCAUCGGAAUAACCAUUGGAAACGAUGGCUAAUGCCGAAUACGACUUCCUUUCGCAUGUCAGGAAGUGGAAAGCCCCGGCGGAGAAGGAUGAGCUCGCGGCCUAUCAGCUUGUUGGUGAGGUAAUGGCUCACCAAGGCGACGACGGGUAGCCGGCCUGAGAGGGGGGCCGGCCACACUGGGACUGAGACACGGCCCAGACUCCUACGGGAGGCAGCAGUGGGGAAUAUUGGACAAUGGGCGAAAGCCUGAUCCAGCAACGCCGCGUGAGGGAUGACGGCCUUCGGGUUGUAAACCUCUUUCAGCAGGGACGAAGCGAAAGUGACGGUACCUGCAGAAGAAGGACCGGCCAACUACGUGCCAGCAGCCGCAGUAA